UGGGGAAUAUUGCACAAUGGGCGCAAGCCUGAUGCAGCCAUACCGCGUGUGUGAAGACGGCCUUCGGGUUGUAAAGCACUUUCAGCAGGGAAGAAAAGUUCGCAGUUAAUAACUGCGGGCCUUGACGGUACCUGCACAAGAAGCACCGGCUAACUCCGUGCCAGCAGCCGCGGUAAUACGGAGGGUGCAAGCGUUAAUCGGAAUUACUGGGCGUAAAGGGCGCGUAGGCGGUUUGGUUAGUCAGAUGUGAAAGCCCCGGGCUUAACCUGGGAACUGCAUUUGAUACUGCCAGACUAGAGUGUGGUAGAGGGAAGUGGAAUUCCGCGUGUAGCGGUGAAAUGCGUAGAUAUGCGGAGGAACAUCAGUGGCGAAGGCGACUUCCUGGACCAACACUGACGCUCAGGUGCGAAAGCGUGGGGAGCAAACAGG
This 429-nucleotide ribosomal RNA is filed under the name uncultured bacterium. Its description in RNAcentral is "bacterial SSU rRNA". It matches the Rfam family "Bacterial small subunit ribosomal RNA", at positions 355 to 776 of the family's 1533-position model. The record is from RNAcentral.